CCUACGGGCGGCAGCAGUGAGGAAUAUUGGUCAAUGGACGAGAGUCUGAACCAGCCAAGUAGCGUGAAGGAUGACUGCCCUAUGGGUUGUAAACUUCUUUUAUAUGGGAAUAAAACGUUCCACGUGUGGGAUUUUGUAUGUAUCAUAUGAAUAAGGAUCGGCUAACUCCGUGCCAGCAGCCGCGGUAAUACGGAGGAUCCGAGCGUUAUCCGGAUUUAUUGGGUUUAAAGGGAGCGUAGGUGGAUUGUUAAGUCAGUUGUGAAAGUUUGCGGCUCAACCGUAAAAUUGCAGUUGAAACUGGCAGUCUUGAGUACAGUAGAGGUGGGCGGAAUUCGUAGUGUAGCGGUGAAAUGCUUAGAUAUCACGAAGAACUCCGAUUGCGAAGGCAGUUCACUGGACUGCAACUGACACUGAGGCUCGAAAGUGUGGGUAUCAAACAGGAUUAGAUACCCGGGUAGUC
This 460-nucleotide ribosomal RNA is filed under the name uncultured bacterium. RNAcentral describes it as "partial 16S ribosomal RNA". It matches the Rfam family "Bacterial small subunit ribosomal RNA", at positions 338 to 795 of the family's 1533-position model. The record is from RNAcentral.